RNAcentral lists this long non-coding RNA (371 nucleotides) under Sorghum bicolor (sorghum). RNAcentral's name for it is "long non-coding RNA (SBIC_LNC017541)". Lineage: Eukaryota; Viridiplantae; Streptophyta; Magnoliopsida; Poales; Poaceae. The record is from RNAcentral.
ACAUUCUUGUGGGGGGAAGUGCAUAACAAACAGGCUUUAAAAAAAGACAUGUGCGUGCCCCUUAAAAAAAUAUUGACUAAAACAUUACUGUAUCUAAAAAAAUAUAGUGCAUAAAAAUUGUUACACAACGUUGGAGAUCUAGGCUAUGGUACGCAUAUAUAUUUGAUGACAUUCUUGUGGGGGUGAAAAGUGCAUAGCAAUCAGGCUUUAAAAAAAGACAUGUGCCUGCCCCCUUAAAAAAAGUGACUAAAACAUUUUUUGGAAAAAGUCUACUUACCCCCUGAAGUAUUAAGCUGUGUCUAACCUAGGCCCCAAACUAUAAAACCGGGUUUCCUACAACCUAAAAUAUGCAAAAUUAGGCAUCUAACCCC